RNAcentral lists this transfer RNA (78 nucleotides) under Candidatus Thorarchaeota archaeon. Its description in RNAcentral is "tRNA-Arg". It matches the Rfam family "tRNA". Rfam says of the family: Transfer RNA (tRNA) molecules are approximately 80 nucleotides in length. Their secondary structure includes four short double-helical elements and three loops (D, anti-codon, and T loops). The record is from RNAcentral. Lineage: Archaea; Promethearchaeati; Candidatus Thorarchaeota. RNAcentral also lists the same sequence under 1 other name.
GGGCACGUAGUCUAGUAUGGAUAAGGCACCUGCCUUCGGAGCAGGGCAUCCCAGGUUCGAAUCCUGGCGUGCCCGCCA